AGAUGUUGAAAGCCGGAGACAUAGGAGAGCUUAAUUCUUUCAGGAUUGAUAACUCAAACCAACUUUGGAGUUAACAACACAGAAGCCUACUUGUGUGAGGAGGUGAUCUUCUCAGCUGCUUCAUAAGAGAGGGAAAGGCGGUUAAAAGCAAGUAAAGGUUAUAAUGUCAUGUAAUCAGGGUUUUUUUUUUUUUUUUUU
Long non-coding RNA from Labeo rohita (rohu), 198 nucleotides. RefSeq lists it as uncharacterized. NCBI's taxonomy places the organism in Eukaryota, Metazoa, Chordata, Actinopteri, Cypriniformes, Cyprinidae. The record is from RefSeq and is a predicted model, not a curated record. The transcript is spliced from 2 exons.